AGGGACGUGGUCUAGUCUGGUGUAAGAUUCCCGGUUCGGGAUCGGGUGAUCGGGGGUUCAAAUCCCCCCGUCCCUA
RNAcentral lists this transfer RNA (76 nucleotides) under Candidatus Heimdallarchaeota archaeon. RNAcentral describes it as "tRNA-Pro". It matches the Rfam family "tRNA". Rfam says of the family: Transfer RNA (tRNA) molecules are approximately 80 nucleotides in length. Their secondary structure includes four short double-helical elements and three loops (D, anti-codon, and T loops). The record is from RNAcentral. RNAcentral also lists the same sequence under 3 other names. Lineage: Archaea; Promethearchaeati; Candidatus Heimdallarchaeota.